UUUGUCAUUUUUAGCUCACCUGGCCCGAAGGGCCAAGUGAGCUUUUCUCAUCACUUGGCGUCCGUCGUCCGUCGUCCGGCGUCGUCCGUCGUCGGCGUUAACUUUUUACAUUUUGAACUUCUUCUAGAGAACCACUGAAUGGAAUGAAACCAAACAUGGCAUGAAUGUUCCUUAUGAGGUGCUGACCAAGUGUUGUUACUUUGUAGCGGAUCCAUCAUCCAAGAUGGCCGCCAGCGGGGGACUUAGUUUAACAUAGGACCCUAUGGGAAAUGCAUACAAAUGUCUUCUUUUAGAGAACCACUGAAUGGAAUGAAACCAAACAUGGCAUGAAUGUUUCUUAUGAGGUGCUGACCAAGUGUUGUUACUUUGUAGCGGAUCCAUCAUCCAAGAUGGCCCCCAGCGGGGGACUUAGUUUAACAUAGGACCCUAUGGGAAAUGCAUACAAAUGUCUUCUUUUAGAGAAACACUGAAUGGAAUGAAACCAAACAUGGCAUGAAUGUAUCUUAUGAGGUGCUGACCGAGUGUUGUUACUUUGAAGCCAAUCCAUAAUCCAAGAUGGCCGCCAGCGGGGGACUUAGUUUAACAUAGGACCCUAUGGGAAAUACAUACAAAUGUCUUCUUUUAGAGAACCACUGAAUGGAAUGAAACCAAACAUGGUAUGAAUGUUCCUUAUGAGGUGCUGACCUAGUGUUGUUACUUUGAAGCCGAUCCAUAAUCCAAGAUUGCCGCCAGCGGGGGACUUAGUUUAACAUGGGACCCUAUGGGAAAUACAUACAAAUGUCUUCUUUUAGAGAACCACUGAAUGGAAUGAAACCAAACAUGGCAUGAAUGUUUCUUAUGAGGUGCUGACCGAGUGUUGUUACUUUAAAGCCGAUCCAUAAUCCAAGAUGGCCGCCUGCAGGGGACUUAGUUUAACAUGGGACCCUAUGAGAAAUACAUACAAAUGUCUUCUUUUAGAGAACCACUGAAUGGAAUGAAACCAAACAUGGCAUGAAUGUUCCUUAUGAGGUGCUGACCAAGUGUUGUUACUUUAAAGCCGAUCCAUAAUCCAAGAUGGCCGCCUGCAGGGGACUUAGUUUAACAUGGGACCCUAUGAGAAAUACAUACAAAUGUCUUCUUUUAGAGAACCACUGAAUGGAAUGAAACCAAACAUGGCAUGAAUGUUUCUUAUGAGGUGCUGACCGAGUGUUGUUACUUUGAAGCCGAUCCAUAAUCCAAGAUGGCUGCCAGCGGGGGACUUAGUUUAACAUGGGACCCUAUGGGAAAUACAUACAAAUGUCUUCUUUUAGAGAACCACUGAAUGGAAUGAAACCAAACAUGGCAUGAAUGUUUCUUAUGAGGUGCUGACCGAGUGUUGUUACUUUGUAGCGGAUCCAUCAUCCAAGAUGGCCGCCAGCGGGGGACUUAGUUUAACAUGGGACCCUAUGGGAAAUGCAUACAAAUGUCUUCUUUUAGAGAACCACUGAAAGGAUUGAAACCAAACAUGGCAUGAAUGUUUCUUAUGAGGUGCUGACCUAGUGUUGUUACUUUGAAGCCGAUCCAUAAUCCAAGAUGGCUGCCAGCAGGGGACUUAGUUUAACAUAGGACCCUAUGGGAAAUACAUACAAAUAUCUUCUUUUAGAGAACCACUGAAUGCAAUGAAACCAAACAUGGCAUGAAUGUUCCUUAUGAGGUGCUGACCAAGUGUUGUUACUAUGAAGCUGAUCCAUAAUCUAAGAUAGCUGCCAGCGGAGGACUUAGUUUAACAUAGGACCCUAUGAGAAAUACGUACAAAUGUUUUCUUUUAGAGAACCAUUGAAUGGAAUGAAACCAAACAUGGCAUGCAUGUUCCUUUUGAGGUGCUGACCAAGUGUUGUUACUUUGAAGCUGAUCCUUCAUCCAUGAUGGCUGCCAGAUGGGGACAAUGUUUAACAAAGGAUCCUAUGGACAAUACAUACAAAUGUCUUCUUUUAGAGAACCACAUACUGAAUGGAUUGAAACCAAA
Mytilus californianus (California mussel) is the source of this 1984-nucleotide long non-coding RNA. RefSeq lists it as uncharacterized. The transcript is spliced from 3 exons. The record is from RefSeq and is a predicted model, not a curated record. NCBI's taxonomy places the organism in Eukaryota, Metazoa, Mollusca, Bivalvia, Mytilida, Mytilidae.